RNAcentral lists this ribosomal RNA (253 nucleotides) under uncultured bacterium. RNAcentral describes it as "partial 16S ribosomal RNA". It matches the Rfam family "Bacterial small subunit ribosomal RNA", at positions 524 to 776 of the family's 1533-position model. The record is from RNAcentral.
UACGUAGGGAGCAAGCGUUGUUCGGAUUUACUGGGCGUAAAGGGCGUGUAGGCGGUUAGUUAAGUCUGGCGUGAAAGCUCUCGGCUAAACCGGGAGAGGUCGUUGGAUACUGGCAAACUAGAGGACGGUAGAGGCGUGUGGAAUUCCGGGUGUAGUGGUGAAAUGCGUAGAGAUCCGGAGGAACACCAGUGGCGAAGGCGACACGCUGGGCCGUACCUGACGCUAAAGCGCGACAGCAUGGGGAGCAAACGGG